Molecule: ribosomal RNA, 575 nt
Filed under: uncultured Sebacina
Lineage: Eukaryota; Fungi; Basidiomycota; Agaricomycetes; Sebacinales; Sebacinaceae
Description: eukaryotic LSU rRNA
Rfam family: 5.8S ribosomal RNA (bases 224-377)
Source: RNAcentral
AAGUCGUAACAAGGUUUCCGUAGGUGAACCUGCGGAAGGAUCAUUAGUGAUUAUGGAAGGUCACCUUCUGUGCUGGCUGCGGCAAAGUAAGUGCACGAUGGUGGCUUUCAUCCAGCACCCUGUGAACCUCUGGCCUCUUGCUAGCUUCGGCUGGCUUGAGGAUUUACACAAACUCGCAUGUAUUGAGGACCCUUCAUGUGCGCAAGCACUAAUAUAUAUAUACAACUUUCAACAACGGAUCUCUUGGCUCUCGCAUCGAUGAAGAACGCAGCGAAAUGCGAUAAGUAAUGUGAAUUGCAGAAUUCAGUGAAUCAUCGAAUCUUUGAACGCACCUUGCACCCUUUGGCAUUCCGAAGGGUAUGCUCGUUUGAGUGUCAUUGUACUCUCACACUCCCAAUUGCUUUGGAUUGGGAGCGGUGGACUUGGGUGUUGCUGCUUGACUGAGGCUCACCUGAAAUAUGUUAGUGCACCUCUUGAUUGGACAUAGUACGGCGUGAUAAGUGUCUUCGCCGGCUCCUCGUAAAGAGGGUGGCCGAUCGGGAGCUCUGUUGCUUCAAACUGUCUUCGGACAAUCU